AUUGAACGCUGGCGGCAGGCUUAACACAUGCAAGUCGAACGAUGAAGAUAUAGCUUGCUAUAUCGGAUUAGUGGCGGACGGGUGAGUAACACUUAGGAAUCUACCUUUUAGCGGGGGAUAGCUCGGGGAAACUCGAAUUAAUACCGCAUAAUUUCUACGGAAUAAAGAGGGCUUUUAGCUCUCACUAGAAGAUGAGCCUAAGUAAGAUUAGCUAGUUGGUGGGGUAAAAGCCUACCAAGGCGACGAUCUUUAGCUGGUCUGAGAGGAUGAUCAGCCACACUGGGACUGAGACACGGCCCAGACUCCUAUGGGAGGCAGCAGUGGGGAAUAUUGGACAAUGGGGGCAACCCUGAUCCAGCCAUGCCGCGUGUGUGAAGAAGGCCUUUUGGUUGUAAAGCACUUUAAGCAGUGAAGAAGACCUAUUGGUUAACACCCAAUAGCGAUGACAUUAACUGCAGAAUAAGCACCGGCUAACUCUGUGCCAGCAGCCGCGGUAAUACAGAGGGUGCAAGCGUUAAUCGGAAUUACUGGGCGUAAAGCGAGCGUAGGUGGUUAAAUAAGUCAGAUGUGAAAGCCCUGGGCUCAACCUAGGAACGGCAUCUGAAACUAUUUAACUAGAGUAGGUGAGAGGGAAGUAGAAUUUCAGGUGUAGCGGUGAAAUGCGUAGAGAUCUGAAGGAAUACCGAUGGCGAAGGCAGCUUCCUGGCAUCAUACUGACACUGAGGCUCGAAAGCGUGGGUAGCAAACAGG
This 750-nucleotide ribosomal RNA is filed under the name uncultured bacterium. RNAcentral describes it as "bacterial SSU rRNA". It matches the Rfam family "Bacterial small subunit ribosomal RNA", at positions 28 to 776 of the family's 1533-position model. The record is from RNAcentral.